GACGAACGCUGGCGGCGUGCUUAACACAUGCAAGUCGAACGGAAAGGCCCUGCUGUUGUGGGGUGCUCGAGUGGCGAACGGGUGAGUAACACGUGAGUAACCUGCCCUUGACUUUGGGAUAACUUCAGGAAACUGGGGCUCAUACCGGAUAGGAGCUCCUGCUGCAUGGUGGGGGUUGGAAAGUUUCGGCGGUUGGGGAUGGACUCGCGGCUUAUCAGCUUGUUGGUGGGGUAGUGGCUUACCAAGGCGUUGACGGGUAGCCGGCCUGAGAGGGUGACCGGCCACAUUGGGACUGAGAUACGGCCCAGACUCCUACGGGAGGCAGCAGUGGGGAAUAUUGCGCAAUGGGCGGAAGCCUGAUGCAGCAACGCCGCGUGCGGGAUGACGGCCUUCGGGUUGUAAACCGCUUUCGCCUGUGACGAAGCGUGAGUGACGGUAAUGGGUAAAGAAGCACCGGCUAACUACGUG
Molecule: ribosomal RNA, 468 nt
Filed under: uncultured bacterium
Lineage: Bacteria
Description: partial 16S ribosomal RNA
Rfam family: Bacterial small subunit ribosomal RNA
Source: RNAcentral